CGGGGUGCACCAGGCGCGAAAACUCUACAAUGCAGGCAACUGCGAUAGGGGAACAUCGAGUGAUACUCAUCUUGGGUGUCUGUCCUCCCGUCUAAAAAACGGGAGUUAGCAAGGGCCGGGCAAGACCGGUGCCAGCCGCCGCGGUAAUACCGGCGGCUCGAGUGGUGGCCGAUAUUAUUGAGUCUAAAGGGUCCGUAGCCGGCUUUGCAAGUCUUUUGGGAAAUCCAGCGGCUUAACCGUUGGUCGUCCGGGAGAUACUACAUUGCUUGGGACUGGGAGAGGUAGGAGGUACUCAGGGGGUAGGAGUGAAAUCCUGUAAUCCUUUGGGGACCACCGGUGGCGAAGGCGUCCUACCAGAACAGGUCCGACGGUGAGGGACGAAAGCUAGGGGCACGAACCGGAUUAGAUACCCGGGUAGUCCUAGCCGUAAACGAUGCUCGCUAGGUGUCACAACAAUCGUGAAUUGUUGUGGUGCCGUAGGGAAGCCGUGAAGCGAGCCACUUGGGAAGUACGACCGCAAGGUUGAAACUUAAAGGAAUUGGCGGGGGAGCACAAGGGCGAAUCGC
Molecule: ribosomal RNA, 566 nt
Filed under: uncultured archaeon
Lineage: Archaea
Description: bacterial SSU rRNA
Rfam family: Archaeal small subunit ribosomal RNA
Source: RNAcentral